GCUGGUUUGGUUCAGUGGAUUGAACGUCAGCCUGUGAACUGGAGUCCCGGGUUCGAUUCCAGGCACGGGCA
RNAcentral lists this transfer RNA (71 nucleotides) under Myotis davidii. It matches the Rfam family "tRNA". From Rfam's summary of the family: Transfer RNA (tRNA) molecules are approximately 80 nucleotides in length. The record is from Rfam by way of RNAcentral. Lineage: Eukaryota; Metazoa; Chordata; Mammalia; Chiroptera; Vespertilionidae.